This 251-nucleotide ribosomal RNA is filed under the name uncultured bacterium. RNAcentral describes it as "partial 16S ribosomal RNA". It matches the Rfam family "Bacterial small subunit ribosomal RNA", at positions 524 to 776 of the family's 1533-position model. The record is from RNAcentral.
UACGGAGGGAGCUAGCGUUGUUCGGAAUUACUGGGCGUAAAGCGCACGUAGGCGGCUUUUAAGUCAGGGGUGAAAUCCCGGGGCUCAACCCCGGAACUGCCUUUGAAACUGGAGAGCUAGAAUCUUGGAGAGGCGAGUGGAAUUCCGAGUGUAGAGGUGAAAUUCGUAGAUAUUCGGAAGAACACCAGUGGCGAAGGCGACUCGCUGGACAAGUAUUGACGCUGAGGUGCGAAGCGUGGGGAGCAAACAGG